GAUGAACGCUGGCGGCGUGCCUAAUACAUGCAAGUCGAGCGAACCGAUGAGGAGCUUGCUCCUCUGACUUUAGCGGCGGACGGGAGAGUAACACGUGGAUAACCUACCUAUAAGAAUGGGCUACCUUCGGGAAACCGGAGCUAAAACCGGAUGAUUUAUUGCACAGGAUUGAUCCAUCGUGAAAUACGGUUUUGCUUUCGCUUAUGGCUUAAUCCGCGCCGAAUCCUCAAGUUGGUUAGGUAACGGCUUACCAACGCGACGAUGCUUAGCCGACCUGAGAGGGUGAUCGGCCACACUGGAACUGAGGCACGGUCCAGACUCCUACGGGAGGCAGCAGUAGGGAAUCUUCCGCGAUGGGCGAGAGCGGGACGGAGCAACGCCGCGGGAGUGAUGAAGGUCUUCGGAUCGGAAAACGCUGUUAGUAGGAAAGAACAAAUGCGUAAGUAACUAUGCACAUCUUGACGGUACCGAAACAGAAAGCCACGGCUAACUACGUG
RNAcentral lists this ribosomal RNA (497 nucleotides) under uncultured bacterium. RNAcentral describes it as "partial 16S ribosomal RNA". It matches the Rfam family "Bacterial small subunit ribosomal RNA", at positions 28 to 507 of the family's 1533-position model. The record is from RNAcentral.